AAAUUCAAUAUUAUUCAAUGUGAUUUUUUUAAAAAUUAUAUUGAAUAGUAUGCACUUUUCUCAUAGUAAGACAUUGUAAUCCAUUGAUAUUAUAUCUUUAUUUAUUUAAAGAUGAUUUAACAUACGGACAAAAUGUAUAUGAUUAUUCUAUCAAUGAUAUGUUUUGCAUAUCAUAUGAAUAAAAGCGUUUUGUACCUGUUUAAAUAGUCGAUGGAUUUUUUAAUUAAAAUCAUGCUUGCAAUUUAUUUUGCAUUUCGUAUCAUUAAUUUUUAAUUGAUGAUAGCAGAAAUGGCAUGUAUUUGAUUAACAAUGCGAUAGAUUUGGGAUGCCUUCGGGACCCGUCUUGA
Molecule: ribosomal RNA, 347 nt
Filed under: Lasioptera carophila
Lineage: Eukaryota; Metazoa; Arthropoda; Insecta; Diptera; Cecidomyiidae
Description: partial large subunit ribosomal RNA
Source: RNAcentral